CAGCAGUAGCCGCGGGAAUACGGAGGGUGCAAGCGUUAUCCGGAUUCACUGGGCUUAAAGGGUGCGUAGGCGGGCAGGUAAGUCAGUGGUGAAAUCUUCGAGCUUAACUCGGAAACUGCCGUUGAUACUAUCUGUCUUGAAUAACGUUGAGGUGAGCGGAAUAUGUCAUGUAGCGGUGAAAUGCUUAGAUAUGACAUAGAACACCGAUUGCGAAGGCAGCUCACUAAACGCUCAUUGACGCUGAGGCACGAAAGCGUGGGGAUCAAACAGGAUUAGAUACCCGCGUAGUCCCUGUCUCUUAUAC
This 304-nucleotide ribosomal RNA is filed under the name uncultured bacterium. Its description in RNAcentral is "partial 16S ribosomal RNA". It matches the Rfam family "Bacterial small subunit ribosomal RNA", at positions 506 to 807 of the family's 1533-position model. The record is from RNAcentral.